This 379-nucleotide ribosomal RNA is filed under the name uncultured cyanobacterium. Its description in RNAcentral is "bacterial SSU rRNA". It matches the Rfam family "Bacterial small subunit ribosomal RNA", at positions 376 to 770 of the family's 1533-position model. The record is from RNAcentral. Lineage: Bacteria; Bacillati; Cyanobacteriota.
GGCAACCCUGACGGAGCAACGCCGCGUGUGGGAGGACGGCCUUCGGGUUGUAAACCACUUUUCUCAGGGAAGAAGAACUGACGGUACCUGAGGAAUCAGCCUCGGCUAACUCCGUGCCAGCAGCCGCGGUAAUACGGAGGAGGCAAGCGUUAUCCGGAAUUAUUGGGCGUAAAGCGUCCGCAGGUGGUGAGUCAAGUCUGCUGUCAAAGCCAGGAGCUCAACUCCUGUCCGGCAGUGGAAACUGACCCACUCGAGGGUGGUAGGGGUAGAGGGAAUUCCCGGUGUAGCGGUGAAAUGCGUAGAUAUCGGGAAGAACACCAGUGGCGAAGGCGCUCUACUGGGCCGCGACUGACGCUGAGGGACGAAAGCUAGGGGAGCG